CGGCGGCUCGAGUGGUAACCGUUAUUAUUGGGUCUAAAGGGUCUGUAGCCGGCCGGAUAAGUCUCUUGAGAAAUCCAGCAGCUCAACUGUUGGGCUUUCAGGAGAUACUGUUCGGCUCGAGGCCGGGAGAGGUGAGAGGUACUUCAGGGGUAGGGGUGAAAUCUUGUAAUCCUUGAAGGACCACCAGUGGCGAAGGCGUCUCACCAGAACGGACCUGACGGCAAGGGACGAAAGCUAGGGGCACGAACCGGAUUAGAUACCCGGGUAGUCCUAGCCGUAAACGAUACUCGCUAGGUGUCGGCCACGGUGCGACCGUUGUCGGUGCCGUAGGGAAGCCGUGAAGCGAGCCACCUGGGAAGUACGGCCGCAAGGCUGAAACUUAAAGGAAUUGGCGGGGGAGCACCACAACGGGUGGAGCUUGCGGUUUAAUUGGAUUCAACGCCGGAAAUCUUACCGGGACCGACAGCAAUAUGAAGGCCAGGCUGAAGACUUUGCCGGAUUAGCUGAGAGGUGGUGCAUGGCCGUCGUCAGUUCGUACUGUGAAGCAUCCUGUUAAGUCAGGCAACGAGCGAGACCCACGCCCACAGUUGCCAGCGUACUCUCCGGAGUGACGGGUACACUGUGGGGACCGCCGCUGCUAAAGCGGAGGAAGGAAUGGGCAACGGUAGGUCAGUAUGCCCCGAAUAUCCCGGGCUACACGCGAGCUACAAUGGUCGGUACAAUGGGUAUCUACCCCGAAAGGGGAUGGAAAUCUCCUAAAGCCAAUCUUAGUUCGGAUUGAGGGCUGCAACUCGCCCUCAUGAAGCUGGAAUCCGUAGUAAUCGCGUUUCAACAGAACGCGGUGAAUACGUCCCUGCUCCUU
This 862-nucleotide ribosomal RNA is filed under the name uncultured Methanosaeta sp. RNAcentral describes it as "bacterial SSU rRNA". It matches the Rfam family "Archaeal small subunit ribosomal RNA", at positions 477 to 1338 of the family's 1478-position model. Lineage: Archaea; Methanobacteriati; Methanobacteriota; Methanomicrobia; Methanotrichales; Methanotrichaceae. The record is from RNAcentral.